GCGACCCCAGGUCAAGCGGGACCACCCGCUGAGUUUAAGCAUAUCAAUAA
RNAcentral lists this ribosomal RNA (50 nucleotides) under Crossostylis biflora. Its description in RNAcentral is "partial 26S ribosomal RNA". The record is from RNAcentral. Lineage: Eukaryota; Viridiplantae; Streptophyta; Magnoliopsida; Malpighiales; Rhizophoraceae.